UACGGAGGGUGCAAGCGUUAUCCGGAUUUACUGGGUUUAAAGGGUGUGUAGGCGGACUUUUAAGUCAGCGGUGAAAUCUCCGGGCUUAACCCGGAAAGGUCAACCGAUACUGCCGGGCUAGAGUUCGGAAGAGGCGAGUGGAAUUCCUGGUGUAGCGGUGGAAUGCGCAGAUAUCAGGAGGAACACCUAUAGCGAAGGCAGCUCGCUGGGACGACACUGACGCUGGAGACGCGAAAGCGUGGGGAGCGAACAGG
Molecule: ribosomal RNA, 254 nt
Filed under: uncultured bacterium
Lineage: Bacteria
Description: partial 16S ribosomal RNA
Rfam family: Bacterial small subunit ribosomal RNA
Source: RNAcentral